Molecule: ribosomal RNA, 491 nt
Filed under: uncultured bacterium
Lineage: Bacteria
Description: partial 16S ribosomal RNA
Rfam family: Bacterial small subunit ribosomal RNA
Source: RNAcentral
AGUGAACGCUGGCGGUAGGCCUAACACAUGCAAGUCGAACGGCAGCACAGUAAGAGCUUGCUCUUACGGGUGGCGAGUGGCGGACGGGUGAGGAAUACAUCGGAAUCUACUUUUUCGUGGGGGAUAACGUAGGGAAACUACGCCAAUAACGCAUACGAACCACGGGGGAAAACAGGGGAUCCUUGGGACUUGCGCGGAUGAAUGAGCCGAUGUCGGAUUAGCUAGUUGGCGGGGGAAAGGCCCACCAAGGCGACGAUCCGUAGCUGGUCUGAGAGGAUGAUCAGCCACACUGGAACUGAGACACGGUCCAGACUCCUACGGGAGGCAGCAGUGGGGAAUAUUGGACAAUGGGCGCAAGCCUGAUCCAGCCAUACCGCGUGGGUGAAGAAGGCCUUCGGGUUGUAAAGCCCUUUUGUUGGGAAAGAAAAGCAGCAGGUUAAUACCCCGCUGCUCUGACGGUACCCAAAGAAUAAGCACCGGCUAACUUCGUG